RNAcentral lists this non-coding RNA (148 nucleotides) under Gorilla gorilla gorilla (western lowland gorilla). Lineage: Eukaryota; Metazoa; Chordata; Mammalia; Primates; Hominidae. The record is from Rfam by way of RNAcentral.
GCUGGGCAUGGUGGUGCAUGCCUGUGGUCCCAGCUACUUGGGAGGCUGAGGUGGGAGGAUCACUUGAGCCUGGGAGUUCAAGGCUUCAGUGAGCCAUGAUCAUGCCACUGCAUUCCAGCCUGGGUGACAAAGUGAGACCCUGUCUUUU